UGGGGAAUAUUGCGCAAUGGGCGAAAGCCUGACGCAGCAACGCCGUGUGAGGGAUGAAGGCUUUCGGGUCGUAAACCUCUGUCAGAAGGGAAGAACGGGUAUUGGUCUAAUAGGCCUUUAUUUUGACGGUACCUUCAGAGGAAGCACCGGCUAACUCCGUGCCAGCAGCCGCGGUAAUACGGAGGGUGCAAGCGUUAUUCGGAAUUACUGGGCGUAAAGCGCACGUAGGCCGCUUUGUAAGUCAGGGGUGAAAUCCCACGGCUCAACCGUGGAACUGCCCUUGAAACUGCGAAGCUUGAAUCCUGGAGAGGGUGGCGGAAUUCCUGGUGUAGGAGUGAAAUCCGUAGAUAUCAGGAGGAACACCGGUGGCGAAGGCGGCCACCUGGACAGGUAUUGACGCUGAGGUGCGAAAGUGUGGGGAGCAAACA
This 428-nucleotide ribosomal RNA is filed under the name uncultured prokaryote. RNAcentral describes it as "bacterial SSU rRNA". It matches the Rfam family "Bacterial small subunit ribosomal RNA", at positions 355 to 774 of the family's 1533-position model. The record is from RNAcentral.